RNAcentral lists this ribosomal RNA (562 nucleotides) under Scolecobasidium sp. Its description in RNAcentral is "partial large subunit ribosomal RNA". It matches the Rfam family "Eukaryotic large subunit ribosomal RNA", at positions 38 to 600 of the family's 3401-position model. Lineage: Eukaryota; Fungi; Ascomycota; Dothideomycetes; Venturiales; Sympoventuriaceae. The record is from RNAcentral.
GCAUAUCAAUAAGCGGAGGAAAAGAAACCAACCGGGAUUGCCCCAGUAACGGCGAGUGAAGCGGCAACAGCUCAAAUUUGAAAUCUGGAGUCGUUCUGGCUUCCGAGUUGUAAUUUGCAGAGGGAGCCUCGGAGGGCUGGUCGGUCCAAGUGCCUUGGAACAGGAUACCGCAGAGGGUGAGAGUCCCGUAUCCGGCCGACGCAGUGCUCCGUGUGAGGCCUCUUCGACGAGUCGAGUUGUUUGGGAAUGCAGCUCUAAGUGGGUGGUAAAUUCCAUCUAAAGCUAAAUACUGGCCAGAGACCGAUAGCGAACAAGUAGAGUGAUCGAAAGAUGAAAAGCACUUUGAAAAGAGAGUUAAACAGUACGUGAAAUUGUUGAAAGGGAAGCGCAUGGGGGCAGACUUGGACGCGGGGUUCAGGGUUUCAUUUGUGGAGCCUGUACUUCCCGGCGGACAGGCCAGCAUCGGUUCUGGGGGCCGGACAAAGGCGGUGGGAACGUUGCUCUCUUCGGGGAGCGUUAUAGCCCGCUGUGCAAUGCGGCCACCUGGGACCGAGGACCGCGC